UUAGAGUGCUUAAAGCAGGCUACCUUCGCCUGAAUGCUGCGUGCAUGGAAUAAUGGAAUAGGACCUCGGUUCUAUUUUGUUGGUUUUCGGAACCCCGAGGUAAUGAUUAAUAGGGACAGAUGGGGGCAUUCGUAUUGCGACGUUAGAGGU
This 150-nucleotide ribosomal RNA is filed under the name Camponotus fellah. Its description in RNAcentral is "partial 18S ribosomal RNA". It matches the Rfam family "Eukaryotic small subunit ribosomal RNA", at positions 766 to 912 of the family's 1831-position model. The record is from RNAcentral. Lineage: Eukaryota; Metazoa; Arthropoda; Insecta; Hymenoptera; Formicidae.